UUGAAUAAACUUGGUCGAGCUGUUGCUGGUCCUUCGGGGCAUGUGCACGCUUGCCACCAAUUUUAACCACCUGUGCACCUUCUGUAGAUUGGAAACGUUUCUCGAGGCAACUCGGAUUGAGAACUGCUGUGCGCAAGCCAGCUGUUCUUGUGUUUCUCAAUCUAUGUUUUCAUAUACUCCUAAUGUAUGUAUCAGAAUGUAUUGCUGGGCCUUAGUGCCUUUAAAUCAAAUA
Molecule: unclassified non-coding RNA, 232 nt
Filed under: uncultured fungus
Lineage: Eukaryota; Fungi
Description: sequence contains ITS1, 5.8S rRNA gene
Source: RNAcentral